RNAcentral lists this ribosomal RNA (321 nucleotides) under uncultured Butyrivibrio sp. RNAcentral describes it as "bacterial SSU rRNA". It matches the Rfam family "Bacterial small subunit ribosomal RNA", at positions 28 to 339 of the family's 1533-position model. Lineage: Bacteria; Bacillati; Bacillota; Clostridia; Lachnospirales; Lachnospiraceae. The record is from RNAcentral.
GAUGAACGCUGGCGGCGUGCCUAACACAUGCAAGUCGAGCGGAGAUACUUGAUAAGCUUGCUUAACGAGUAUCUUAGCGGCGGAUGGGUGAGGAACGCGUGGAGAACCUGCCCUUCACAGGGGGAUAACAGCUGGAAACGGCUGUUAAUACCGCAUAUGCUCACAGCGCCGCAUGGCGCAGGGAGGAAAGCGCACAGUGGUGAAGGAUGGCUCCGCGUCGGAUUAACUAGUUGGCAGGGUAACGGCCUACCAAGGUGAUGAUCCGUAGCCGACCUGAGAGGGUGACCGGCCACAUUGGGACUGAGACACGGCCCAAACUCC